This 391-nucleotide ribosomal RNA is filed under the name uncultured bacterium. RNAcentral's name for it is "bacterial SSU rRNA". It matches the Rfam family "Bacterial small subunit ribosomal RNA", at positions 28 to 419 of the family's 1533-position model. The record is from RNAcentral.
GACGAACGCUGGCGGCGUGCUUAACACAUGCAAGUCGAGCGGUAAGGCCCUUUCGGGGUACGACGAGCGGCGAACGGGUGAGUAACACGUGGGUGACCUGCCCUCAGCUCUGGGAUAAGCCUGGGAAACCGGGUCUAAUACUGGAUAUGACUCCAUGACGCAUGUUGUGGGGUGGAAAGCCUUGUGCGGCUGAGGAUGGGCCCCGCGGCCUACCAGCUUGUUGGUGGGGUGAUGGCCUACCAAGGCGACGACGGGUAGCCGGCCUGAGAGGGCGACCGGCCACACUGGGACUGAGACACGGCCCAGACUCCUACGGGAGGCAGCAGUGGGGAAUCUUGCGCAAUGGGCGAAAGCCUGACGCAGCGACGCCGCGUGAGGGAUGACGGCCUGU